GGUGCCUGGUCCAACUGUCAUCAGAGAGGUGUCAUCCAACAACUGAUGGAGGCAGAUGCAGAGAGCCACAGCCAAACAAUGGGUGGAGUUCUGGAAUCCUACAGAGGAGGAGGAGAAAGGAGUGUAGGGGCCGGGGUCAAGGACACCUGUGUGUGGAAGGCUCACCAGUCAACAGCCUGGCUCGUAAGGGCUCACCAGAGACUGGACCAGCAACCGGGACCUGCAUGAUACUGACCUGGGCACUCUCCAUAGAUGUUACACACCCCAAAAGGCAAGCAUGCUCACACCGUGGAGAGAAAAAGAGUGUCUUUCUGCUUCGGUGCCACAGCAUUAAGAUUUCUUGAGUAAAAGCACCAAGGACAGAGUUGACAAGUCUUCUUUUCCUCUUCCACCCUAUCGUAUGGAAGCUGUGAGAGCACAACAUCAAAGCUGAACUGACUUCAAAGCCUCAGACACUCACUGUUUCCAGCUAUUACUGUCACGGCCACUUCACCCUCACAGCAGCUCAUCUCACGGAACUGCUGACGAGGGUCCACUCCUGUGCUGCCCACCUCCCCAUUCCAAACUAUCAAAACUACUCCUUAAAUAAACCAGUCCAGAGAACUAG
This is a long non-coding RNA of Peromyscus leucopus (white-footed mouse), 607 nucleotides long. RefSeq lists it as uncharacterized. The transcript has 3 exons. NCBI's taxonomy places the organism in Eukaryota, Metazoa, Chordata, Mammalia, Rodentia, Cricetidae. The record is from RefSeq and is a predicted model, not a curated record.